This 204-nucleotide ribosomal RNA is filed under the name Clostridioides difficile. Its description in RNAcentral is "partial 16S ribosomal RNA". It matches the Rfam family "Bacterial small subunit ribosomal RNA", at positions 468 to 672 of the family's 1533-position model. The record is from RNAcentral. Lineage: Bacteria; Bacillati; Bacillota; Clostridia; Peptostreptococcales; Peptostreptococcaceae.
AAUGACGGUACUUGAGGAGGAAGCCCCGGCUAACUACGUGCCAGCAGCCGCGGUAAUACGUAGGGGGCUAGCGUUAGCCGGAUUUACUGGGCGUAAAGGGUGCGUAGGCGGUCUUUCAAGUCAGGAGGGAAAGGCUACGGCUCAACCGUAGUAAGCUCUUGAAACUGGGAGACUUGAGUGCAGGAGAGGAGAGUGGAAUUCCUA